GCCUGGGUGGCUCAGUCGGUUAAGCGUCUGACUUCAGCUCAGGUCAUGAUCUCACAGCUCAUGAGUUCGAGCCCCACUUCGGGCU
RNAcentral lists this transfer RNA (85 nucleotides) under Felis catus (domestic cat). It matches the Rfam family "tRNA". From Rfam's summary of the family: Transfer RNA (tRNA) molecules are approximately 80 nucleotides in length. Lineage: Eukaryota; Metazoa; Chordata; Mammalia; Carnivora; Felidae. RNAcentral also lists the same sequence under 1 other name. The record is from Rfam by way of RNAcentral.